AGUGAACGCUGGCGGUAGGCCUAACACAUGCAAGUCGAACGGCAGCACAGUAAGAGCUUGCUCUUACGGGUUGCGAGUGGCGUACGGGUGAGGAAUACAUCGGAAUCUACUUUUUCGUGGGGGAUAACGUAGGUAAACUUACGCUAAUACCGCAUACGACCCACGGGUGAAAGCAGGGGAUCUUCGGACCUUGCGCGAUUGAAUGAGCCGAUGUUGGAUUAGCUAGUUGGCGGGGUAAAGGCCUACCAAGGCGACGAUCCGUAGCGGGUCUGUGAGGAUGAUCAGCCACACUGGAACUGAGACACGGUCCAGACUCCUACGGGAGGCAGCAGUGGGGAAUAUUGGACGAUGGGCGAAAGCCUGAUCCAGCCAUACCGCGUGAGUGAAGAAGGACUUCGGGUUGUAAAGCCCUUUUGUUGGGAAAGAAAAGCAGCAGGUUAAUACGCCGCUGUUCUGACGGUACCCAAAGAAUAAGCACCGGCUAACUUCGUG
This 492-nucleotide ribosomal RNA is filed under the name uncultured bacterium. RNAcentral describes it as "partial 16S ribosomal RNA". It matches the Rfam family "Bacterial small subunit ribosomal RNA", at positions 29 to 507 of the family's 1533-position model. The record is from RNAcentral.